UAACAGCUCAAAUUUGAAAUCUGGCUCCUUCGGAGUCCGUGUUGUAAUUUGUAGAAGCAGCUGUGGGUUGUGGGACCGGCCUAAGUUCCUUGGAACAGGACGUCCUAGAGGGUGAGAAUCCCGUAUGUGGCCGAGGCCUGCACCCGUGUAAAGCUCUUCCGACGAGUCGAGAUGUUUGGUAAUGCAGCUCAAAAUGGGUGGUAAAGUUCAUCUAAAGCUAAAUAUAGGCCAGAGACCGCUAGCGAACAAGUAGAGUGAUCGAAAGAUGAAAAGCACUCUGGAAAGAGAGUUAAGCAGUACGUGAAAUUGUUGAAAGGGAAUCGCUUGCAACCAGACUUGGACACCACUGAUCCGCGGGGGUUCUCUCUCGGGCACUCGUUGGGGUACAGGCCAGCAUCGGUUUGGAUGGUUGGAUAAAGGCCGAAGGGACGUAGCUCCUCUCGGGGAGUGUUAUAGCCUUCGGUGCAAUGCAGCGCAGCCGUACCGAGGACCGCGCCUUCGGGCUAGGAUGCUGGCGUAAUGGUUGUAAGCGACCCG
This 537-nucleotide ribosomal RNA is filed under the name Erysiphe sengokui. RNAcentral describes it as "eukaryotic LSU rRNA". It matches the Rfam family "Eukaryotic large subunit ribosomal RNA", at positions 102 to 651 of the family's 3401-position model. Lineage: Eukaryota; Fungi; Ascomycota; Leotiomycetes; Helotiales; Erysiphaceae. The record is from RNAcentral.